GAUGAACGCUGGCGGCGUGCCUAAUACAUGCAAGUCGAGCGAACAGACGAGGAGCUUGCUCCUCUGACGUUAGCGGCGGACGGGUGAGUAACACGUGGAUAACCUACCUAUAAGACUGGGAUAACUUCGGGAAACCGGAGCUAAUACCGGAUAAUAUAUUGAACCGCAUGGUUCAAUAGUGAAAGACGGUUUUGCUGUCACUUAUAGAUGGAUCCGCGCCGCAUUAGCUAGUUGGUAAGGUAACGGCUUACCAAGGCAACGAUGCGUAGCCGACCUGAGAGGCUGAUCGGCCACACUGGAACUGAGACACGGUCCAUACUCCUACGGGAGGCAGCAGUAGGGAAUCUUCCGCAAUGGGCGAAAGCCUGACGGAGCAACGCCGCGUGAGUGAUGAAGGUCUUCGGAUCGUAAAACUCUGUUAUUAGGGAAGAACAAAUGUGUAAGUAACUAUGCACGUCUUGACGGUACCUAAUCAGAAAGCCACGGCUAACUACGUG
Molecule: ribosomal RNA, 497 nt
Filed under: uncultured bacterium
Lineage: Bacteria
Description: partial 16S ribosomal RNA
Rfam family: Bacterial small subunit ribosomal RNA
Source: RNAcentral